GAGCCUAACGCCACCAGAGUGAUAACAUUGAAUGGUGAUGGCAAUGAUAUUUUACAAUUUUAGGAAACACCAUGACAGUGAAUAGUGAACGGCAACGAACGACGAUGAUAUUUUACGGUUUUAGAAAGUUUGUGUAGGUCGUUGGGGAUGUUUUGGGUGAAUUGGUAGGGAAAAUGAAAAGGAAAAAGUAGAAGAAAAAAAGAACAAAGGGGAGAAAAUAAGGGAAAAUGAAAAGGAAAGAAAAAAAGGUAUAAGAGGACACCACGUAGUGACAUACGAUUGACUAGCAUUACCGCAUCAGCAAAAAGC
Molecule: long non-coding RNA, 309 nt
Filed under: Gossypium raimondii (Peruvian cotton)
Lineage: Eukaryota; Viridiplantae; Streptophyta; Magnoliopsida; Malvales; Malvaceae
Description: long non-coding RNA (GRAI_LNC003522)
Source: RNAcentral